RNAcentral lists this long non-coding RNA (224 nucleotides) under Homo sapiens (human). RNAcentral describes it as "non-protein coding lnc-RAD23B-10:1". Lineage: Eukaryota; Metazoa; Chordata; Mammalia; Primates; Hominidae. The record is from RNAcentral.
GGAAAUCGUAGUUGUGAACAUCAGGCUUUCUAGAAGUGGCUGUACCAACAUCAGCCUUGAAAGAGCUCAAUCCAGCAGAUCCUGUCCCACUUGGAACCUGGCUAUGAGUGAGAAAACAUCUGUGGUUGGAAAAUGGGGCUGGUGAUUCAGGCCUGUUUGGGAAGAAGAUGCUCUUGAAUGCUUUGCUCAACAAACACCUCCCUUCUGCAAGGAGGCAACCUGUG